This is a long non-coding RNA of Tigriopus californicus, 1335 nucleotides long. RefSeq lists it as uncharacterized. The record is from RefSeq and is a predicted model, not a curated record. NCBI's taxonomy places the organism in Eukaryota, Metazoa, Arthropoda, Copepoda, Harpacticoida, Harpacticidae. The transcript is spliced from 2 exons.
GUGACAAAUCAUUGUCCAAUGUCCAAUCAAAUCCAGGUUUUUCUGUAAAAAGCCUCCAUCACUCAAAAAAAGGGAUGGGCGAUACUUUCUUCUCAACCGGUUUGUUCAAAUUGGCACAUGAAAAGGCAACGUUGUUGUCAAGUACUCCUCACCUGGUUUUUCUUUUCAUAUCGUGUUUCUGAACUAAAAAGAGGCCAAUUAUAUCAGGCAGUAAUAAAGACAAUUCAUUUCAUAAUUCGAUUUCUCACCAUGUUCUUGAUAACUAAAAUUCGCCACCUCUACAAAAGCCAUUUCAGAAACGGAACCAUUGUUCUAUUAAACUUACGACCCAAACGUCAUCGACGGAUGAAUGCCAAACAGCGGUUCAUUUCUAGUUCGAUUGUGCUUUCAAGAUCCUGUUUUUCCUUCCCCACCAGUUUUUACCUCUUCGCUAAAAAGGUGCUUCAAUUCCGAUGGCAGGAAAACGAACUAUACCAUCCAUCCAGUCGCCACUUACUCAAUCAAAUAUGACAACAAAGAUGUUCAUCGUGCAUGACAAAAUUUGUUACCCACCCGUGGCAACGAGGUGACUUUUUCCCUGGGCUCCUUCUCUUUGUGCCGCCUCAUUGAUUGCCAUGGUUGUCUCUCUACACACUCGCUCUGUGCAACCAUGUGAUUCGUGGAGUGACUGCCAAACCCUACCCGAUGAUACAGCCAGAGGAAGACGGUUUGGUUGACUUUGUCAGACUAGAUCGCGCUGCGGUUCGUAAUUGCUCGCCAAUUUCCCUCUUCCUCCUCCUCGAUUGCUAGUACUGGUCUUGGCUGUCUGAUUUCCACGUUCGAAUCCAGGCUAAGCCAGGCUGGAUGGUUGCAUGACCACCACGGCGUGUUUUUGUCAGUCGAGAGGAAUUACGUUUUUCUCUGAGAAAUUGCUGUCGAAUUGGAUGGAAGAGAAGGAUGAUGAUCUUUAGUUCUCAAGUUGAGGCCAACCAAUCCACCGACUCUUCCGGUGGAUUGGUUGGGUUUAUGGAACGAGAUCCAUGGACGUUUUUGUAAAUAUGUGACUGAAAUCCCGAUGGCACUCCGGAUUGGUGUCCGGAUUGGUCCGGAUUGGAAUGGUGCGGAUCCAGUCAAAAUGAAUCCUUGAUUGAGCGAGUGAAGAAGACGCUUGACCGUUGAAGAGUGGGUGAAGACCAAAAUGGUACAUAUGUACCAUUCAUUUAUAGAUUAAGGAAAAAAAAAUUGCCGAUUGAAUUUUUCUUGACCACAAACCUUGUUUCACCAUUCUAACAGACCCUUAUAAAUAUGUAAUAUAAAUCGUAUCGUUCCCUUGGUAUAAAGAUCCAAUUAAAAAGA